This is a non-coding RNA of Bombyx mori (domestic silkworm), 88 nucleotides long. The record is from RefSeq and is marked provisional. NCBI's taxonomy places the organism in Eukaryota, Metazoa, Arthropoda, Insecta, Lepidoptera, Bombycidae.
GUUGGCUGGCGAUUACGCGAUUUGCCGUGACCAGAGGACAAAUGUACGCUUCAUAUACGUUAUGAGUCGUCGCGUUAAUCGGACCGAA